GACGAACGCUGGCGGCGUGCUUAACACAUGCAAGUCGAACGGAAAGGCCCCUUUGGGGGUACUCGAGUGGCGAACGGGUGAGUAACACGUGAGUAACCUGCCCUUGACUUCGGGAUAACUUCAGGAAACUGGGGCUAAUACCGGAUAGGAAUCCUUGCUGCAUGGUGGGGGUUGGAAAGCUUCGGCGGUUUUGGAUGGACUCGCGGCUUAUCAGCUUGUUGGUGGGGUAGUGGCUUACCAAGGCUUUGACGGGUAGCCGGCCUGAGAGGGCGACCGGCCACAUUGGGACUGAGAUACGGCCCAGACUCCUACGGGAGGCAGCAGUGGGGAAUAUUGCACAAUGGGCGGAAGCCUGAUGCAGCAACGCCGCGGGCGGGAUGACGGCCUUCGGGUUGUAAAACGCUUUCAGCAGGGGCGAAGCUUGUGGUGACGGUACCUGCAGAAGAAGCACCGGCUAACUACGUG
Molecule: ribosomal RNA, 465 nt
Filed under: uncultured bacterium
Lineage: Bacteria
Description: partial 16S ribosomal RNA
Rfam family: Bacterial small subunit ribosomal RNA
Source: RNAcentral